Molecule: ribosomal RNA, 692 nt
Filed under: uncultured bacterium
Lineage: Bacteria
Description: bacterial SSU rRNA
Rfam family: Bacterial small subunit ribosomal RNA
Source: RNAcentral
UCGGAAAGAAAGAUGUGAAAUCCCAGUGACUCAACCUUGGAACUGCAUUUUUAACUCCCGGACUAGAGUAUGUCAGAGGGGGGUGGAAUUCCACGUGUAGCAGUGAAAUGCGUAGAGAUGUGGAGGAACACCGAUGGCGAAGGCAGCCCCCUGGGAUAAUACCGACGCUCAGGCACGGAAGCGUGGGUAGCAAACAGGAUUAGAUACCCUGGUAGUCCACGCCCUAAACGAUGUCAACUAGCUGUUGGGUUCUUCGGAGCUUAGUAGCGCAGCUAACGCGUGAAGUUGACCGCCUGGGGAGUACGGUCGCAAGAUUAAAACUCAAAGGAAUUGACGGGGACCCGCACAAGCGGUGGAUGAUGUGGAUUAAUUCGAUGCAACGCGAAAAACCUUACCUACCCUUGACAUGUCUGGAAUCCCGAAGAGAUUUGGGAGUGCUCGCAAGAGAACCGGAACACAGGUGCUGCAUGGCUGUCGUCAGUUCGUGUCGUGAGAUGUUGGGUUAAGUCCCGCAACGAGCGCAACCCUUGUCAUUAGUUGCUACGAAAGGGCACUCUAAUGAGACUGCCGGUGACAAACCGGAGGAAGGUGGGGAUGACGUCAAGUCCUCAUGGCCCUUAUGGGUAGGGCUUCACACGUCAUACAAUGGUCGGGACAGAGGGUCGCCAACCCGCGAGGGGGAGCCAAUCCCA